CAGUCGAGCGAACUGACGAGGAGCUUGCUCCUUUGACGUUAGCGGCGGACGGGUGAGUAACACGUGGGUAACCUACCUAUAAGACUGGAAUAACUCCGGGAAACCGGGGCUAAUGCCGGAUAACAUAUCGAACCGCAUGGUUCGAUAGUGAAAGACGGUCUUGCUGUCACUUAUAGAUGGACCCGCGCCGUAUUAGCUAGUUGGUGAGGUAACGGCUCACCAAGGCAACGAUACGUAGCCGACCUGAGAGGGUGAUCGGCCACACUGGAACUGAGACACGGUCCAGACUCCUACGGGAGGCAGCAGUAGGGAAUCUUCCGCAAUGGGCGAAAGCCUGACGGAGCAACGCCGCGUGAGUGAUGAAGGUCUUCGGAUCGUAAAGCUCUGUUGUUAGGGAAGAACAAAUGUGUAAGUAACUGUGCACAUCUUGACGGUACCUAACCAGAAAGCCACGGCUAACUACGUGCCAGCAGCCGCGGUAAUACGUAGGUGGCAAGCGUUAUCCGGAAUUAUUGGGCGUAAAGCGCGCGUAGGCGGUUUUUUAAGUCUGAUGUGAAAGCCCACGGCUCAACCGUGGAGGGUCAUUGGAAACUGGAAAACUUGAGUGCAGAAGAGGAAAGUGGAAUUCCAUGUGUAGCGGUGAAAUGCGCAGAGAUAUGGAGGAACACCAGUGGCGAAGGCUGGCUUUCCUGGUCUGUACUGACGCUGAUGUGCGAAAGCGUGGGAGAUCAACAUGGAUAGAUACGCUGGUAGUCACGCGUAACGAUGA
RNAcentral lists this ribosomal RNA (769 nucleotides) under Staphylococcus chromogenes. RNAcentral's name for it is "bacterial SSU rRNA". It matches the Rfam family "Bacterial small subunit ribosomal RNA", at positions 59 to 812 of the family's 1533-position model. The record is from RNAcentral. Lineage: Bacteria; Bacillati; Bacillota; Bacilli; Caryophanales; Staphylococcaceae.